UCACAUUCUAAAAAAAAUAGCUUAUUCUAUUAGUAAGAUUCCAAUUCUUUGAAAUGAAAGGAAACAAACGGGACCUGAGUGUAAAUCGGCGGGGAAUCAUAUGUUCAUGUUCUCACUGCAAGAAUAAGCUUGUCAAAGAGGGUGGUGAAGUAAAAUCUCACCUGAUCAGGUGAGGUUUCACCGAUGAAUACACGGUUAGGAGGUUUCACAGUGAAGAGGAUGUGAGUCUGAUUGUUCCCUUCAAUGGUGAUAGCGGCACAGGUGCUCCUAGCGACGGGUGUAAGUCAUGGAGGACAAGCAACAGGAAGUCCACUGCCAAGUGCUUCCAUCGUCGUCAAAUCACAGGUCAGGGGUUAAUUAUAUGGGGAAGAGGCCAUUAUCAUCAGGUACGCGUGGUUCUCACACAGUCGGGGCCACGUUCGUUGAUGAUCUGCCUCUUAAUCGGCAUCUCAAACUCUUGUUGUGCUCUCUACAUCAGUAGAGAAGGUGUGUUCACAAGUCGUUUCUUCUUAAGACUAUGUUUUGGUUGAUCUUGAUCUAUAGAACUAUUUUAUUGUAGAACUACUGAACCCUUUCGAAGUGUUGUACUCAAUUUGUGUAGAACAAUGCAUGAUUAAUUUCUACCAAUAGUCUACGGUAGCCGGUAGUUGUUUUAUCCUACUAGAAAUUGUUGCAUGGUUAAUUGGUUAAUUUGUGUAGGAUGUGCCAAAAGAAGAGGAAGAGAACACCAUCAAUAUGAAUGGUGAAUUAUUCGUAAGCUUAUCUUCCACUAAUGGUGCUGGAAGCCAGAAGGAGAAAGAGGAGGAUGGAGAUCAUGUGUCAAGGCUCAGGAGAUAAAUCGAGGAAGAAAAAGAUCGAAGGGUGGUGUUUAGUUGUAUCCUUCCAAGUUCCAAGUUCACGGUAAAGAGAGGAAAGUGUGCUAGUUCAAGAGAGUAUGGGAUGGAGAUAGGCACCAUUGGACUUGGAGUGGAGGACAAGAUGUUACCAUUUUGCAUUUCCAUGGAGCGUGGAGACUUCUGAGUGCUUCAAUCUUUUUAUUAAAAAUCAGUCUGAGCGAUGAUGAGUCUAAAGAGACUAAGACUAUAUCAUAAUCUACGAUGGAUUUAAUCUAUAAGGUGGAUAUAUCACAUAUGGUUGCCAAUCUUGUAUAUUUCAUAUUUGCAUGGUUGUAGUUGCACUGUUGCAAUCUUAAGACCUGUAUAGUUGCAUA
Zea mays is the source of this 1210-nucleotide long non-coding RNA. RefSeq lists it as uncharacterized. The record is from RefSeq and is a predicted model, not a curated record. The transcript is spliced from 2 exons. NCBI's taxonomy places the organism in Eukaryota, Viridiplantae, Streptophyta, Magnoliopsida, Poales, Poaceae.